This 408-nucleotide transfer-messenger RNA is filed under the name Candidatus Nomurabacteria bacterium CG1_02_43_90. It matches the Rfam family "transfer-messenger RNA". Rfam says of the family: Bacterial tmRNA, also known as 10Sa RNA or SsrA, is named for its dual tRNA and mRNA-like properties. RNAcentral also lists the same sequence under 1 other name. Lineage: Bacteria; Candidatus Nomuraibacteriota. The record is from RNAcentral.
GGGGAUGAUCGGCCUAGACAGGCGAUUUCAUCUGGUUGGUGCUAUGCCGAGAAUGCUCGAGAUCUCGUUAAACCUCGAGCAACCAAGUACGUGCAAAAAACACACUUGCAAAAGCAAAGGCUAUCGUAUCACCAUACUAUGGUGCUAACGCCUUUACUCCUGCUUACGCUUUCGUAGCCUAAACAGCAUCCGCGCUUCGUACGCCCUCUAGGUAGUCGCGGGUGAUAUAAAAUGAGGGCUCAUCAUCUUGAAUGACUCUACGAGGUGAAAAAACACAGAGUAUCGAUACUGUAUAAUUUAGAAUACUUUUUAUAUACACUAUUUAAAUCCCAAAGAAGUCUUCUACGCAUAGUAGACUCCUCCCAGAACAUCGUCUGCACGGGGGUUCGAUUCCCCCCAUCUCCACAU